RNAcentral lists this non-coding RNA (112 nucleotides) under Isochrysis galbana. Lineage: Eukaryota; Haptophyta; Isochrysidales; Isochrysidaceae. The record is from RNAcentral.
CAUCGUGCGGAGGCCGCUGGGCGGUGCAUCAGCCUCUCAGUUGCUGUCCUUUACUGAGCGCGACGGCGACGCUUCGUCCCUGUCGGUUGGUGGCGGUGAUCCUCUCUCGGAG